UGCGUAGGCGGAUUAAUAAGUCAGUGGUGAAAUCUUUCGGCUCAACCGAGAAACUGCCAUUGAUACUGUUAAUCUUGAGUUCGGUUGAGGUAGGCGGAAUGUGUAAUGUAGCGGUGAAAUGCUUAGAUAUUACACAGAACACCAAUUGCGUAGGCAGCUUACUAGACCGACACUGACGCUGAGGCACGAAAGCGUGGGUAGCAAACAGGAUUAGAUACCCUGGUAGUCC
This 229-nucleotide ribosomal RNA is filed under the name uncultured bacterium. RNAcentral's name for it is "partial 16S ribosomal RNA". It matches the Rfam family "Bacterial small subunit ribosomal RNA", at positions 568 to 796 of the family's 1533-position model. The record is from RNAcentral.